Molecule: long non-coding RNA, 550 nt
Organism: Callorhinus ursinus (northern fur seal)
Lineage: Eukaryota; Metazoa; Chordata; Mammalia; Carnivora; Otariidae
Source: RefSeq, a predicted model, not a curated record
CCCAGAAGGACUCCGCCCGGGGCCCACGCUGGCCCUUACGUUGAAGGCUUCCUGCAGCAACUCCACAAUGUUGGAGGAGUCCUCUUGCAGCACCCCCAGUGAGGAGACAGGGAAGUGCCCGAGGAGUCCAGGUGGCAUGCCUCGUCAUUGCGGCUCAUGAUGCCGGCCAGCACGUUGACACCGUCUGCCUCAUAGUGGAAAGCUGACUCGGUGGAGAACACCAGCAGUGUCGUGUAUGACUGACGAAGCGGGUCCCAACAUGAGCUCAGCUAAGCCACAGGAUUCACGGCGUGCCCCCAUCAUGGACAAGGCACGUGACAGCACGUGAGCCACGGCGGUGGGCAGCGGAAAGCGGCAAUGAGGAUGCAGGAAGGAUGCAGGCGGGGUCUGUGCACACAGUGGUCACCGCACAAGACCCGAGCUAGCUUCAUCCGACUGGCCCCCCAGGCUUCAUAAUUACUCUGAGGAAAUAUUUUAACUGCAUGGGAAAAUGUACACCUACAAUGUUGAAUGAAAAGGCUGGUCAGGGGAGCCUGGGUGGCUUAGUCGG